AAAUACAAACAAAAACAUCAGCAUAUAA
RNAcentral lists this small RNA (28 nucleotides) under Bombyx mori (domestic silkworm). Its description in RNAcentral is "ovarian small RNA-10108". Lineage: Eukaryota; Metazoa; Arthropoda; Insecta; Lepidoptera; Bombycidae. The record is from RNAcentral.